RNAcentral lists this ribosomal RNA (505 nucleotides) under uncultured bacterium. RNAcentral's name for it is "partial 16S ribosomal RNA". It matches the Rfam family "Bacterial small subunit ribosomal RNA", at positions 28 to 507 of the family's 1533-position model. The record is from RNAcentral.
GACGAACGCUGGCGGCGUGCCUAAUACAUGCAAGUAGAACGCACAGUUUAUACCGUAGCUUGCUACACCAUAAACUGUGAGUUGCGAACGGGUGAGUAACGCGUAGGUAACCUGCCUGGUAGCGGGGGAUAACUAUUGGAAACGAUAGCUAAUACCGCAUAAUAUUGAUUAUUGCAUGAUAAUUGAUUGAAAGAUGCUAUUGCAUCACUACCAGAUGGACCUGCGUUGUAUUAGCUAGUAGGUGAGGUAACGGCUCACCUAGGCGACGAUACAUAGCCGACCUGAGAGGGUGAUCGGCCACACUGGGACUGAGACACAGCCCAGACUCCUACGGGAGGCAGCAGUAGGGAAUCUUCGGCAAUGGACGAAAGUCUGACCGAGCAACGCCGCGUGAGUGAAGAAGGUUUUCGGAUCGUAAAGCUCUGUUGUAAGAGAAGAACGGGUGUGAGAGUGGAAAGUUCACACUGUGACGGUAUCUUACCAGAAAGGGACGGCUAACUACGUG